AGAGAUGUUUAGGAAAGUAAUGAAAUUAAAUGAAUAGUUUAUUAUUAUAACGUUUAGGGUCGUUUGGAAAGAGCAAAGACAGAGUCCGGUUGCAUGUGGGGCUGCGUAAAGGCUCCCCUGGGGAGUUCAGGUGUACCCAAAGGCUUCCAUUGGGGGCACUUUUUGAUGGGAGAAAGUUUUCUGGGCUCCUAUUUUAAAUUCAUCUCAGUGUUCCAGUUAUGGUUAUGUUUAUUAUUAUUAUUCCCAAAAUACUUUAUUUUGAUUCUGCUUCCAUGACAAGGGCAGAGCAGGGAAAGCAAGCACAGAAAUGUGAACUUCUAGGGCCAAAUUAGUUGGUUUGCUAUCAGGUCUUCUGGGAGGGGCUGGCACUGGCUUGAGCCAGCAGGUGGAAGAGAUGGAGAAUCAAAGGAAAAAGGUGAAUGGCAUUGAAAUGAUGAGGCUCCACCAAUGCCACAUGCAGCCAAUUCUAUUUAGCAAGGACUGUGGUCAAGGUAGCAGGGGAAAGUAGAAGUUGUUCAGGAUAUUGAAAAGAGAGAGCUCACAGUGCCCCAUAAAGAAGGCCUCUCAAGCCCAGGAAGCUGAAGCCAGCCAGGGAAGGAAGCAUCAGCUGCCUUCAGAAGGAAGGAAUCAGAAGGGAGCAGCACCAGCCCAUGCAGCAUCACACCUUCGGGGGCUUGGAGAAAAACCGAGCAAUUUCUCCGUGCUGGGUGCAGCUCCUUGGACCAGCUUCUGCCCGGGCAGUAGGAAGGAGCAGGACCGAUACCGCUGGCUGCAGCCGCCUGCAUCCUCCUCGUGCCGCAGCCUUCCAGAGAAACCCCGGCCAUGCGCAAAGCCUCCCAGCCACGCCGCUCCCCCAGCUCCAAGCGUGGUACGCUGCGGGUGCCCCGCUCUGCACUCACCUGGCUCGUGAGCUAGGCACAACUCCCGGCUGGCAACUGCUUUACUGAACCCUUCAGCCAAAAACAAAACAAAAACAAAAAACUUGACAGGACAGAGGGCUAUGGAGACAGGGAAAUAAAAUAAAACAGCUGGUAAAUAGGUACUGUCA
Molecule: long non-coding RNA, 1048 nt
Filed under: Anas platyrhynchos platyrhynchos (common mallard)
Lineage: Eukaryota; Metazoa; Chordata; Aves; Anseriformes; Anatidae
Description: lncRNA (ENSAPLG00000016587.1)
Source: RNAcentral